Molecule: ribosomal RNA, 449 nt
Filed under: uncultured bacterium
Lineage: Bacteria
Description: bacterial SSU rRNA
Rfam family: Bacterial small subunit ribosomal RNA
Source: RNAcentral
AUUAGAGUUUGAUCAUGGCUCAGAUUGGACUCGCUGGCGGGCAGGCUUAACACAUGCAAAGUCGAGCGGGGUGAUGUAGGCUUGCUUACAUCUACCUAGCGGCGGGACGGGUGAGUAAUACUUAGGAAUCUGCCUAUUAGUGGGGGACAUACAUUCCGAAAGAAUGCUAAUGCCGCAUACGCCCUACGGGGGAAAGCAGGGGAUCUUCGCACCUUGCGCUAAUAGAUGAAGCCUAAGUCAGAUUAGCUGGUUGGUGGGGUAAAGGCCUACCAAGGCGUCGUGUCUGUAGGCGGGUCUGAGAGGAUGAAUCCGCCUCGCUGGGACUGAGCACGGCCCAGACUCUACGGCAGCCCGCAGAUGGGGAAUAUUGGUCAAUGGGCGCAAGCCUGAUCCAGCCAUCCCGCGUGUGUGAAGAGGCCUUUUGGUUGCUGCACUUUAAGCGAGGACGA